UUGUACGCUGGCGGCAUGCCUUACACAUGCAAGUCGAACGGUAACGCGGGGCAACCUGGCGACGAGUGGCGAACGGGUGAGUAAUGCAUCGGAACGUGCCCAACAGUGGGGGAUAGCCCGGCGAAAGCCGGAUUAAUACCGCAUACGACCUGAGGGUGAAAGCGGGGGACCGUAAGGCCUCGCGCUGUUGGAGCGGCCGAUGUCAGAUUAGGUUGUUGGUGGGGUAAAAGCCUACCAAGCCGACGAUCUGUAGCUGGGCUGAGAGGACGACCAGCCACACUGGGACUGAGACACGGCCCAGACUCCUACGGGAGGCAGCAGUGGGGAAUUUUGGACAAUGGGCGCAAGCCUGAUCCAGCCAUGCCACGUGCGGGAUGAAGGCCUUCGGGUUGUAAACCGCUUUUGUCAGGGAAGAAACGCUCCGGGCCAACACCCUGGGGUAAUGACGGUACCUGAAGAAUAAGCACCGGCUAACUACGU
RNAcentral lists this ribosomal RNA (480 nucleotides) under uncultured bacterium. RNAcentral describes it as "bacterial SSU rRNA". It matches the Rfam family "Bacterial small subunit ribosomal RNA", at positions 29 to 506 of the family's 1533-position model. The record is from RNAcentral.